RNAcentral lists this ribosomal RNA (414 nucleotides) under uncultured bacterium. Its description in RNAcentral is "bacterial SSU rRNA". It matches the Rfam family "Bacterial small subunit ribosomal RNA", at positions 355 to 786 of the family's 1533-position model. The record is from RNAcentral.
UGGGGAAUAUUGCACAAUGGGGGAAACCCUGAUGCAGCGACGCCGCGUGAAGGAAGAAGUAUCUCGGUAUGUAAAGCUCUAUCAGCAGGGAAGAAAAUGACGGUACCUGACUAAGAAGCUCCGGCUAAAUACGUGCCAGCAGCCGCGGUAAUACGUAUGGAGCAAGCGUUAUCCGGAUUUACUGGGUGUAAAGGGAGCGUAGGCGGUAAGGCAAGUCUGAUGUGAAAGGCAGGGGCUCAACUCCUGGACUGCAUUGGAAACUGCCGGGCUUGAGUGCCGGAGGGGUAAGCGGAAUUCCUAGUGUAGCGGUGAAAUGCGUAGAUAUUAGGAGGAACACCAGUGGCGAAGGCGGCUUGCUGGACGAUGACUGACGUUGAGGCUCGAAAGCGUGGGGAGCAAACAGGAUUAGAUACC